AGAGCUGAAGAGACCUGGAGCCGACAGACGAGGAAGAAUUCUCCUGCUUGUGGCAGGAAUGUGGCUUUUGUUCUCUGGACAGUUCUGCUGACCUCAUCCGCCAUGUCUACUUCCACUGCUACCACACCAAGCUGAAACAGUGGGGGCUGCAGGCCUUGCAAAGCCAGGCUGACCUUGGCCCCUGCAUCCUGGACUUCCAGAGCCGGAACGUCAUCCCUGAUAUCCCUGACCACUUCCUGUGUCUGUGGGAGCACUGUGAGAAUUCCUUCGACAAUCCUGAGUGGUUUUAUCGGCAUGUGGAAGCACACAGUCUGUGCUGUGAAUAUGAAGCAGUCGGCAAGGACAACCCGGUGGUGCUGUGUGGUUGGAAAGGCUGUACCUGCACCUUCAAGGACCGCAGUAAACUUCGGGAGCACCUCCGCAGCCAUACCCAGGAGAAAGUGGUAGCCUGCCCCACCUGUGGGGGCAUGUUUGCCAACAAUACCAAGUUCUUAGAUCACAUCCGUCGCCAGACCUCAUUGGAUCGUAAGUAGUCAGAGG
Molecule: small RNA, 540 nt
Filed under: Pongo abelii (Sumatran orangutan)
Lineage: Eukaryota; Metazoa; Chordata; Mammalia; Primates; Hominidae
Description: processed transcript
Source: RNAcentral